GAUGAACGCUAGCUACAGGCUUAACACAUGCAAGUCGAGGGGCAGCAUGGAACUUAGCUUGCUAAGUUUCGAUGGCGACCGGCGCACGGGUGAGUAACACGUAUCCAACCUACCGUUUACUACGGGAUAGCCUUCUGAAAAGGAGAUUAAUACCGUAUGGCAUUCUAAAGUUUCAUGACAUUAGAAUUAAAGGUUUACCGGUAAUCGAUGGGGAUGCGUUCCAUUAGAUAGUAGGCGGGGUAACGGCCCACCUAGUCAGCGAUGGAUAGGGGUUCUGAGAGGAAGGUCCCCCACAUUGGAACUGAGACACGGUCCAAACUCCUACGGGAGGCAGCAGUGAGGAAUAUUGGUCAAUGGACGAGAGUCUGAACCAGCCAAGUAGCGUGAAGGAUGACUGCCCUAUGGGUUGUAAACUUCUUUUAUAAAGGAAUAAAGUGGUCCACGUGUGGAUUUUUGUAUGUACUUUAUGAAUAAGGAUCGGCUAACUCCGUG
Molecule: ribosomal RNA, 492 nt
Filed under: uncultured bacterium
Lineage: Bacteria
Description: bacterial SSU rRNA
Rfam family: Bacterial small subunit ribosomal RNA
Source: RNAcentral